AUACGGAGGGUGCAAGCGUUGUUCGGAAUCACUGGGCGUAAAGGGCGCGCAGGCGGUUUGGUAAGUCAGAUGUGAAAGCCCAUGGCUCAACCAUGGAAGUGCAUUUGAAACUGUCAGACUUGAGUACUAGAGGGGAAAGUGGAAUUCCCGGUGUAGAGGUGAAAUUCGUAGAUAUCGGGAGGAAUACCGGUGGCGAAGGCGACUUUCUGGCUAGAUACUGACGCUGAGGCGCGAAAGCGUGGGGAGCAAACAGGAUUAGAAACCCCGGUAGUCC
RNAcentral lists this ribosomal RNA (274 nucleotides) under uncultured bacterium. Its description in RNAcentral is "partial 16S ribosomal RNA". It matches the Rfam family "Bacterial small subunit ribosomal RNA", at positions 523 to 796 of the family's 1533-position model. The record is from RNAcentral.